GAGGGCAGUGAGGCACUGGCACAGGCUGCCCAGAGAGGCUGGAGGUGUGCCCCAUCCCUGGAGGAGUUCCAGGCCAGGCUGGAUGAGGCCCCGGACAACCUUAUCCAGUGGGUGCCAUCCCUGCCUGUGCUGGGGGUUUGGCACCGGGUGAUCUUUGAGGCCGCUUCCAACCCCAACCAUUCCAUGACUGUGAUUCCUGAUCCAGAGCAGCCUGCAGCAGCAGCUGAGACAGGCCUCUGAGCAGGCCGUGGUUUAGCCAAGGAGAAGCUGCGUACUGCAAAGUCCUUCUACAGCAAAACAGUAAUGUCAGACAUCUCCUCUGGGCCAUAUUGAAAGACCUGAGCUGACUUGAACUGCUGAAUCCGUAGGGAGGAUUUCAACACAGCUCUAAGUGCUGGGACAUUGGAGCCGUGCAAGAAGGAAGAGGGAGAGAAAUUCAAGCCCUCCCCCCCUUCCCUUUGAGUAUGCAGUCAUGAACGAGAUGAAAGGAUUAAGUGUGUUGGCCUAGCCUGGUGUCUGGGAAGGAUGGAAAGAUCAGCCACUACAAUUUCACCAUUAAGUGUGAACAGUGAACCAUUGGAAACUGCUCUCAGAGUGUGGAUUCCAACCAGAUUUGUGUCGUGCCCUCAACCUGGGCAUUCUUGUACUCGCAUCUCAUGUUGGAUGAAGUUAGAAGUCUCAGUAGCAUUGAGUCUCCCUGCAGGAAGGAUGGAAGAUGGUAAAUGUGACAACAGUCUCCGAGAAGGUCCCCAGGAGUGAAGUGGAGAACUGCAGACCGUCACACUGGAGUCUCUACUGAGCAAAUCAGAAGCUCUGGCCUCAAACCGCUCUGGGUUAUGUGAUGCGAUAGCCAGGUGUGCAAGGAAGACAGUAGCUGAAGCAAUUGCUGAAGCAUUAGUGACUAUCCUGGAAGUUCUUGGAAGUGCAGCACCCACUACAGAUGACAAGAUGAGAGCAGGGAGAGUACAUGCCUCUUUGAUUUGUCUGAGUAGGACUGAACCAGUGAUGCUGUGGCUGAGGGGAGGCAGAGGUUGGCAGCUGAGGGCUGGAGCUGCAGCCGCAUCCUCAAAUUGCAGCAGUGGAGUUUGUUGCUGUGGUUGUGCUGGGGCUGCUGGGGAAAGAGCUGGGUUAGCUGAGUGCUGCAGUGCCUCUCAAGCUGGUGAAAGAGCUACAGUGUCAGGCUCUGCAAUGAAGGCAGAAUCCUUGCCAUGCAGGGUGGAGGACUCCAGGGGGUCACAGCAGAGGGCUGCAUCCACAGGAGACACCUGGAGCAGCUGACUGUGCAGUGCUGACAUCUGAGAAGAUUUCUAACAUGAUGUUACACCAUGCGAUUCGCUGCUGACACCACCUUUCUCACUGCAGAGCAAACCCCUUCAAACCAGAGCAGCCCCAUUCACCAUCUCUGGGUGCAUCUGCAACUUGUAUGGGAUUUUACACUGAUCAUAUCUCAAGGAGGAUUUAGAAGAGUGGUGUUUGCAGGCUGGAGAUCUGCUGGCUUCCUAAAGCUCCCAGGCGCCACCAUUCCCCUGCAUGUGACACGUGCGUUGCCCUCAAAUUCAGUGGAAGGCUCACUCAGGACAGCUCACAGCUGCAUGUGACUGUGCUGUGACAACAACCAGGACGUGUGUGGGGCUCAGAGCUGCCUGCGGGGGCAUCGGGAGUGUGCUUGGCUGAAGGCUGGCCCCUAUCAGUACGCCUCUCAGGACUAGUGUUGGUAAAUGGAAGCCUCGUCUACAUCAGGUUGCUUUUCCUUCAGCUCCUUCUUCCUCCUACCCAGUCCUUCACCUCCAAAACCAAGCAGGACACAGAGCUCGCCAGGGUCUUUUUUGUUAAGAAAAUUUUCCCUUCUCCCUUGACAAAGCCCUUGCAUUGGAUACAGCUAAGUUGGUUUCUAACCCUUUUUUUUAAAUCUGUAAGUGGCAGAAGCAUCAUGUAUUCACAGCCAAGCACCCAUCCUGAAAUGCAUGAGGUUUCCUGAGCAGUUCAGCUUGAUUUUCUGUUUCUGAGAGUGGAAGGGUUGCUCUUUGUGAGGAAAGAGUAAACCUGUGGGAAAAGGGCAAAAAUACACAUCCUGGGCUGUUGAUUUUAGCUGUGCCCCACAGGGCCAAACACAAGCAAGACAGAUGUGUCUGAAGUACAACUUUGAUGGAGUGCAAAACCCUAAACUGAGGAGGGCGAUCCCUACAAACACCUGUUGGCCUGGAUGUCUCAAGGGUAGGUCUUCUCUAGGUGCUGAGGGUCCCCAUGCUUGUGGGUUCAACCCAGAAAUGUUGGAGAGCCCAUGCCACAGCUCUACCACCACUAAGCCAGUGUAACACCAAGUCCUUCCUGUGUCUGCUCAGCCCCUGUGUCUCCUGGCUGCCACAUCCUCAGAAAAUCACUGCACUUUAAUACAUUUAUUUAUGCUUUUUUUUUUUCUUUUUGAAGCAUGAAAGUGAUUUACAACAUUUUAUAUUACAUUUUUUAAUCCUUUAAAAUUAAAACAAAUCUUUUCUCCGCUUUGCCCAGUUUUAAGACAUCUCUUUUAUUCAGCUCUUGCAGUAAAAUAUGGAUGGAAG
This is a long non-coding RNA of Cygnus atratus (black swan), 2558 nucleotides long. RefSeq lists it as uncharacterized. The record is from RefSeq and is a predicted model, not a curated record. Lineage: Eukaryota; Metazoa; Chordata; Aves; Anseriformes; Anatidae. The transcript is spliced from 12 exons.